RNAcentral lists this ribosomal RNA (518 nucleotides) under uncultured bacterium. RNAcentral's name for it is "partial 16S ribosomal RNA". The record is from RNAcentral.
GGAGUUAGCCGGUGCUUCUUCUGUGAGUGAUGUCCUUCCUGCCGGUUAUUGACCCGCAGGCCUUCUUCCUCACUGAAAGUGCUUUACAACCCGAAGGCCUUCUUCACACACGCGGCAUGGCUGGAUCAGGGUUGCCCCCAUUGUCCAAUAUUCCCCACUGCUGCCUCCCGUAGGAGUCUGGGCCGUGUCUCAGUCCCAGUGUGGCUGAUCAUCCUCUCAGACCAGCUACGGAUCGUCGCCUUGGUGAGCCGUUACCUCACCAACCAGCUAAUCCGACAUAGGCUCAUCCGAUAGCGCGAGGCCCGAAGGUCCCCCGCUUUCCCCCGUAGGGCGUAUGCGGUAUUAGCCUGGGUUUCCCCAGGUUAUCCCCCACUACCGGGCAGAUUCCUAUGCAUUACUCACCCGUCCGCCGCUCGCCACCAGGGAGCAAGCUCCCCGUGCUGCCGCUCGACUUGCAUGUGUUAGGCCUGCCGCCAGCGUUCAAUCUGAGCCAGAAUCGAAACCUNACUCGAGCGGCG